RNAcentral lists this small RNA (647 nucleotides) under Pongo abelii (Sumatran orangutan). RNAcentral describes it as "retained intron". Lineage: Eukaryota; Metazoa; Chordata; Mammalia; Primates; Hominidae. The record is from RNAcentral.
CGAGGAACUGAGAGGAAUUUGGAUCUUUCCUGGAGUGAACUGAAGAAAGAAGUUACUUUAGCUGUUGAAAAUGAGCUUCAAGGAAGUGUAACAGAGUAUGAAUUCUCCCAGGAGGAGUUUCGAAAUUUACAACAAGAAUUCUGGUGCAAGUUCUAUGCCUGUUGUCUUCAGUAUCAAGAAGCCCUCUCUCAUCCUCUUGCCCUACAUUUGAAUCCACACACAAACAUGGUGUGCCUGCUGAAAAAAGUAAGUGAGCUAAAGCAUAGAGAAGAUCUUCUUGAGACAGUUCAGUGGCUUUUAUAACAAAAUGCCUUCAGAAAACAAGUUCAGUGGCUCUUGCCGAAUGUUAGUCUGGUGAAUGUUGCAGUUAGCAUUUAGGACUUUGCAUUUGUAUUUUUUCCCCUAAAAUUGUGAUUCAUUCAUUUAAAUAGUUUUCUGUGUUAUUCUCUAUACUUUUUUUGUAUUUUAUUGUAUUUAUUUACUUUUUUUUUUUUUUUUUCUUUUUUUGAGUUGGAGUCUUGCUCUGUCACCCAGGCUGGAGUGCAGUGGCAUGAUCUCAGCUCACUGCAACCUCCGCCUCCGGGGUUCAAGCAAUUCUCCUGUCUCAGCCUCCUGAGUAGCUGGGACUACAGGUGUACACCAUCACG